CAAAUAUCUCCUCCAGGUCAGCAAAAGUUAAAAACAAACUGAACCAGCCCAACAAAAUAGAUCGAUCAAGAAGGGCUCUUCUCCUCACGCUCGAUGACCGCCGCCGCCAUGGCUGCCCCAAGCCUUCUGUCUCAAUCAGCCAAUCAAAAUUGAUCAAUCAAGGCAAAUCAUGGUGUUCUGCGAGCAGCGGACGUUCAGAACCAUGGCACCACGUUUUGUACGCUGGCUACGAGACGUAUUGUUUGCCGAUGGCACCCGCAAGAAGGAUAAAAGCAUGGAUGCAUCUAGCUGCUUGCAUUGCUUAUUUAACUUAAUAUUGGGAGAUCCGUGGGAGAUAAGUUGCUGGGCUCUACUUGCCUUCACCUCCAGAAAUAUCAAG
Long non-coding RNA from Triticum aestivum (bread wheat), 379 nucleotides. RefSeq lists it as uncharacterized. The record is from RefSeq and is a predicted model, not a curated record. The transcript is spliced from 3 exons. Lineage: Eukaryota; Viridiplantae; Streptophyta; Magnoliopsida; Poales; Poaceae.